This is a long non-coding RNA of Zonotrichia leucophrys gambelii, 1889 nucleotides long. RefSeq lists it as uncharacterized. The transcript is spliced from 8 exons. The record is from RefSeq and is a predicted model, not a curated record. NCBI's taxonomy places the organism in Eukaryota, Metazoa, Chordata, Aves, Passeriformes, Passerellidae.
UCCUGCCAGGCUGGGGUGUGGGGAGCAGGGGCUCCUGUCCCAGCUCACCCUGCGUGUGAGGAAGGCAUUGCCUGCCUCUGCUCUGAGUGGGCAAAGGAGAGGAAAUUUUAAUAAGAAAGAGGAGUUCAAGUCUAUCUGUAAUAGUCAGAUAUUGAGGAUUUAUGCUAUUACAGGCUACACAGAGCCUUAAACUUGCAAAAGGGAUUUGUGAGCAGCCUGCUUGUCAAGAACAAAUACUAGUCAAAAGAAAUGUGUGACUUAUUGACCUUGGGUUCACUGAACCUUCAUCUUGAUGCUUCCGUACCUCUAAGGAAUCAGCUCCUCUGAAAAUUAAAGUUCCCAGAUUAGAAUAGAAGCUUCAACAAAGGACCUGUGUGGCUUUACAAAUACACAUCGAUUAGAGGACUUUGGAAGAGCUUUGUUAGAAAAGUGGAAUUAUGAAAAGCAAAUGUUUGAGAGAUUUGGUGCAGAGUAACAGCUGUACCUUCCCUCUGGUGUGCUGGGUGACUCCUCUACCUCAUGACCCCAGUUGUCUGUGGGCAAACACACAAAUGGACAAGAGGAGGAGGGAGCUGUGCCCUGCUUGGGCAGUGUCUGCACAGCUCUGGGGAGGCUGUGGAGGAUGCAGGCAGUGUGCAUUACUCCCUGGAAAGGAUCCUGCAGCAUCAGCUCCCUCCGUGCUCCAGACAGAUGAUAACUGGCCACGUGCAUGGCAGAGUAAUUGUGUGGGGUGCAGGACUCUACUUGUUAAACCCACGGACAUGAAGCUCACCAGGAAACUGUCUCAGCAAUAACUCUGGUGCUGGAUGAUGAGUAAGGAACAGUGUGUUUGAGAGUGUUCAUGUAUCUCAUGGGCAGUGGCUGGAUGCUGUAAGCAGAUAGAGCAGUUACCAAGGCAUUUGUCUGAAACUGCACAAUGCAAGGAUGGUGUGAGUGGGAGGCAGAGAAUGGAGACAGGGGCAGAGGUGAUGCCCAGGGAGCAGCGUGGACAACUCAGCUGGAGCUGAAGGCUGCCCAGUGGGUGCUGUGGGCUCCCGGCUGCACCCCUUGCUGUGUCACCCUGCUUGGGGAGGAGGGCACUGUUUGUGGAGCCAGAACUGAGCAGCUGCAGCCUGGCCCAGGGACCAGGGGCACAGGUGGCACUGAUGGCACUGGCACAGGUGCCACUGGCAGCACUGGCACAGGUGGCACUGGCAGCUCCUCUGGUGGAUCCACAGCAGCUUCCCUGGGUCAGCCCAGCUGCACCAGUUCCCCUCAGUGGGUUUGGCCCCACAGGGCAGCUGGCAGGGCUGGGGUCUGGCUCAGAGCUGGGGGGCACAGCAGCUCUGAGUGCCCUGCCCAGCUCCUCCCCUUCCUAGUGCUCAUUAAUCCUUUACUCAUAAAAGCAUAGAAUUAGUAAGGUUGGAAUUAAAUCUUUUCAGGCCCUCCUCUGUCAAGAACGUUUCUAAUGUCUUUUAUUUCCUUUCUAAUUUAAUUUAACUGGAAAAAGCACUUUUUUUUUUCUUCUUAUUUCUCUAUUCCUUUAUGAUUAGGGAAAACCCCAUCUAGUAAGUCUAAAUGCUUCUACCAUGGAAAUAUUUAGUACCAGCUCUGGCAUAUUUAUGUUGGCUCCCUGAUUAGACAAUGUGCCAAGCUGUCCUUCGUGGCCUUAAUUAUCACAACUUCAGGCCAGCAUUGCCUGCUUACAGCAUAAUCCCACGGCCCAGAGUGAACCCUGAAAAUGCUUAAUUAAAUGACAUUCCACAACAGAUUAAGGAGUCAGAAGCCCAAGAUAAAGGAAAAGGGAGACUGUGACCAUAGGAGUGGCAGGUGCUCUUCCUUCUCAGAAUAAUGCUCCUGACAUGGACUGUUUAGUUUUGAGCACAUUAAAAAAACCAAUGUUAUUUGGU